Molecule: ribosomal RNA, 200 nt
Filed under: uncultured bacterium
Lineage: Bacteria
Description: partial 16S ribosomal RNA
Rfam family: Bacterial small subunit ribosomal RNA
Source: RNAcentral
GAUGAACGCUAGCGGCAGGCUUAACACAUGCAAGUCGAGGGGUAUAUUUCUUCGGAGAUAGAGACCGGCGCACGGGUGCGUAACGCGUAUGCAAUCUACCUUUUUACAGAGGGAUAGCCCAGAGAAAUUUGGAUUAAUACCUCAUAGUAAAAUGACUCGGCAUCGAGAUAUUAUUAAAGUCACAACGGUAAAAGAUGAGC